RNAcentral lists this ribosomal RNA (497 nucleotides) under uncultured bacterium. RNAcentral describes it as "partial 16S ribosomal RNA". It matches the Rfam family "Bacterial small subunit ribosomal RNA", at positions 28 to 507 of the family's 1533-position model. The record is from RNAcentral.
GAUGAACGCUGGCGGCGUGCCUAAUACAUGCAAGUCGAGCGAACAGACGAGGCGCUUGCUCCUCUGACGAUAGCGGCAGACGUGUGAGUAACACGAGGAUAACCUACCUAUAAGUCUGGUAUAUCUUCGGGACACCGGAUCUAAUCCCAUAUGAUAUACUGAUGCGCAUGGUUCAAUAGUGAAAGACGGUUUUGCUGUCACUUCUAGAUGGAUCCCCGCCGCAUUGGCUAGUUGGUAAGGUAAUGGCUUACCAAGGCAACGAUGCGUAGCCGAACUGAGUGAGGGAUCGGCCACACUAGAACUGGACCGAGGUCAAGAGGCCUGAGGGAGGCAGCAGUAGGGAACGUUCGGCAGUGGGCGAAAGCCUGACGGAGCAACGGCGAGUGAGUGAUGAAGGUCUUCGGUGCGUGAAGCUCUGUUAUUAGGGGUGAACAAAUGUGUAAGUAGAUAUAGACUUCUUGACGGUACUGAAUAAGGAAGCCACGGCUAACUACGUG